Molecule: long non-coding RNA, 221 nt
Filed under: Linum usitatissimum (flax)
Lineage: Eukaryota; Viridiplantae; Streptophyta; Magnoliopsida; Malpighiales; Linaceae
Description: long non-coding RNA (LUSI_LNC000236)
Source: RNAcentral
AAGGUUGCGAACAAUAAAAGGUAUCCAAUGUGACAAAAAAAUUCUCAGAUCUGUUUGUUUCUCGAGACAAAAAAUGAAAAAUCUCCGGUUCCCGAUCAAGCUGACGAAGUCUCCAUUCUUGCCAGUCUCCAAAGUCCAAUCCUUUUUUUGAAAUUUCAUUUCUUCUUCUCUGUGGGUUCAUCAAUUCGUUUGUGAAUUGUGAUUGGUCUGGAUUGGAUUUU